UGCGUUUCCAACACGAGAUGCUGUUAGCUGAAGGGAGGACUGGGAUGGGCCCGUCCCGCCCCCCACCAACAGGGCGUCCAGGUGAAGGACCAGGAGAAGAGGCGGCGUGUGGAGGAAGAAGGCGCAGGAAUGGGGAGGGGGUGUGGAGGAAGAAGGCGCAGGAAUGGGGAGGGCGUGUGGAGGAAGAAGGCGCAGGAAUGGGGGGAGGGCGUGGAGGAAGAAGGCGCAGGAAUGGGGGAGGGCGUGUGGAGGAAGAAGGCGCAGGAAUGGGGAGAGGGCGUGUGGAGGAAGAAGACGCAGGAAUGGGGAGAGGGCGUGUGGAGGAAGAAGGCGCAGGAA
RNAcentral lists this long non-coding RNA (339 nucleotides) under Pan troglodytes (chimpanzee). RNAcentral describes it as "long non-coding RNA NONPTRT006968". The record is from RNAcentral. Lineage: Eukaryota; Metazoa; Chordata; Mammalia; Primates; Hominidae.